CAGAGCUAAGAGCUGGACAUUAGCCUGCCCUGGACAUCUGAAGCCAGCGAUGGCGACCAAAAGACUUAAAUGUACAGACACCACUAGAAGAGAUCGAAAUGAUGAUGGUGGUGGAAGUCCUCCAAAGGAAGUGGGAGCGGCAAAUAGGACAGUAUCUAGUGGAGAGGCAGAGACUCCCAGAGCAGCAGCGAGAGGGACAGUAGCAGAGACACCCAGGGCAGCAGAGACGGAUACAUAACAAAACAGACUAAUAAUAAAUAAUAAAGUGGUAUAGUUUAAUGAAAUAAAUGACCAGUUUUUAAAAUGUUUCCGAGAGGGGGUGGGGAUUUUGUUCAGCUGUAAUUUUAAAUUUCCAUGUACUUUGAACUUUGAAAAAAAUAAAAUAUAUCUUUUUCUUAA
Long non-coding RNA from Alosa alosa (allis shad), 399 nucleotides. RefSeq lists it as uncharacterized. The record is from RefSeq and is a predicted model, not a curated record. Lineage: Eukaryota; Metazoa; Chordata; Actinopteri; Clupeiformes; Clupeidae. The transcript is spliced from 3 exons.